UACGUAGGGUGCAAGCGUUUGUCCGGAAUUAUUGGGCGUAAAGAGCUCGUAGGCGGUUUGUUGCGUCGGCUGUGAAAUCCCGAGGCUCAACCUCGGGUCUGCAGUCGAUACGAGCAAACUAGAGUGUUGCAGGGGAGACUGGAAUUCCUGGUGUAGCGGUGAAAUGCGCAGAUAUCAGGAGGAACACCGGUGGCGAAGGCGGGUCUCUGGGCAACAACUGACGCUGGAGGAGCGAAAGCGUGGGGAGCGAACAGG
Molecule: ribosomal RNA, 255 nt
Filed under: uncultured bacterium
Lineage: Bacteria
Description: partial 16S ribosomal RNA
Rfam family: Bacterial small subunit ribosomal RNA
Source: RNAcentral